GUGCUCACUUCGGGGGCACACAUAGUAAAACUGGAACGAUACAGAGAAGAUUAGCAUGGCUCCUGCACAAGGAUGGCAUGCAAAUUCAUGAAGCAUUACAUAUUUUG
RNAcentral lists this small nuclear RNA (107 nucleotides) under Aotus nancymaae (Ma's night monkey). The record is from RNAcentral. Lineage: Eukaryota; Metazoa; Chordata; Mammalia; Primates; Aotidae.